AGUGAACGCUGGCGGUAGGCCUAACACAUGCAAGUCGAACGGCAGCACAGUAAGAGCUUGCUCUUACGGGUGGCGAGUGGCGGACGGGUGGGGAAUACAUCGGAAUCUACUUUUUCGUGGGGGAUAACGUAGGGAAACUUACGCUAAUACCGCAUACGACCUACGGGUGAAAGCAGGGGAUCUUCGGACCUUGCGCGAUUGAAUGAGCCGAUGUCGGAUUAGCUAGUUGGCGGGGUAAAGGCCCACCAAGGCGACGAUCCGUAGCUGGUCUGAGAGGAUGAUCAGCCACACUGGAACUGAGACACGGUCCAGACUACUACGGGAGGCAGCAGUGGGGAAUAUUGGACAAUGGGCGCAAGCCUGAUCCAGCCAUACCGCGUGGGUGAAGAAGGCCUUCGGGUUGUAAAGCCCUUUUGUUGGGAAAGAAAAGCAGCAGGUUAAUACCCCGCUGUUCUGACGGUACCCAAAGAAUAAGCACCGGCUAACUUCGUG
RNAcentral lists this ribosomal RNA (492 nucleotides) under uncultured bacterium. Its description in RNAcentral is "partial 16S ribosomal RNA". It matches the Rfam family "Bacterial small subunit ribosomal RNA", at positions 29 to 507 of the family's 1533-position model. The record is from RNAcentral.